This is a long non-coding RNA of Neocloeon triangulifer, 488 nucleotides long. RefSeq lists it as uncharacterized. The record is from RefSeq and is a predicted model, not a curated record. The transcript is spliced from 4 exons. NCBI's taxonomy places the organism in Eukaryota, Metazoa, Arthropoda, Insecta, Ephemeroptera, Baetidae.
UCGAGAGAAAGAAGGUGUGAGUUUUGCCACCGCCGCAUUUGUCGUGAAUUAUUCAGUGUUGCAGUUUAUGAAAUAGUGCUGUUUAUCUUGUUCGCAUCGCGCCGCGGCAGUGGCGACUUCCUCUCCAAGUUUUUAUGAAUAAUUUCAUCGCUCAUUCCACGCAAGAACACAAUCGACGCGCGAGAGUCAGUCAGGCGGGGUGAUGCAUCAAAUUAUCGGGCAAUAAAAGCGAGCUGCCGGAGCAAAUGUACAGCGAGUCAGAUGGGCCAAGAUAAUAAUUCGACUCGCAGAGAGAGGCAGCAGCCAAAUGGACGCCUCUCUCGGCUAAUGUAGGAGGAGGCGGAGGGAGAGGUGGAGGCGGCCGAAAAAUCCAAUUGCGAUCACACUCACUUAGCGAAUUUAUUUCCCUGCUCCUAAUUUUGCUGCUCGACGCUGGAUGAGAAUCAAGUUGCGUCAAAUUUAACAGCAUUUUUUUUUUAAAUAUACUU